RNAcentral lists this non-coding RNA (22 nucleotides) under Rattus norvegicus (Norway rat). Lineage: Eukaryota; Metazoa; Chordata; Mammalia; Rodentia; Muridae. The record is from RNAcentral.
UUCAAGUUAUUUUGUUACCGCU